CAGAGACUCACCUGGCCGCAGGUUGUUUCCCGGGGCGUGCCAAGCUUGGAUGCUGAGUGAGAAGGCAACACGAAGACAACCAGAGGCCGUUCUCGGGGCAGGGCACAAAUGAGUUUCGCAGGUAAAGAAGACAAAAGACAGACACACUCCCAAGGGAAGAGGAGCAGAAGGAGGGGAAAAAGCAAAGUGUGGAAAAGUCAAGUUUUCCAGACCCUUUGUAGACGGUGUGUGAUAAGGUUCUUGACUGAACAACCUGGGGAAUAGCCGCCCACGCUUUGGCCUUCCCGAGAAAACGGUCCCACCCAGACAACCCUCCAAAGAAGAGUCGUCCCUGAAGGCACCUGGUCACUUAGAGGGGCAGCCCCUCAGGCCCAGCUCUCCUCAUGCUCCCAUGAGAGCAUACCUCCUGGGUUCACUUUUCACGGGCUGAUUGCUCACGCCCGAUGACCUAACAUAUGCCAAAUAAAAGGGUCCCCGAGUGGGCAGGACCACUGGG
Long non-coding RNA from Psammomys obesus (fat sand rat), 496 nucleotides. RefSeq lists it as uncharacterized. The transcript has 2 exons. NCBI's taxonomy places the organism in Eukaryota, Metazoa, Chordata, Mammalia, Rodentia, Muridae. The record is from RefSeq and is a predicted model, not a curated record.